AAUAACCUAAUAAACCCCAAAUAAACGAUCUGAUUGUACAUGUUCAUAUUACUCUGUUUGAAUAAUAAAGCGAUAAGCGAUAACAUGAACUACGACAACCUGCACACCACCUGUACACGUUGUUUGCGGACCUUUCGAAAAACACACAGAGACAGUUUGCUUACAGAUGAGCACACGGCAACGAAUAAAAUGGCGGUACUGGCACAAGUGCAGAGUAAUCAAUUAAUUAGGUAAAUAUUUACGUAGUGACGCAAUUAUAUUAUGAACUAGAGAACUGUAAUGGAUUAAUGGCUUUUUCCAAACUAACACAAACGCACUUAAGUGUUCAGUGAUUGAGAAAUAUACUUUUCAUAAUAAAAAAAAAAAACAGUAUGACUUGGUAACCGA
Long non-coding RNA from Dalotia coriaria, 387 nucleotides. RefSeq lists it as uncharacterized. NCBI's taxonomy places the organism in Eukaryota, Metazoa, Arthropoda, Insecta, Coleoptera, Staphylinidae. The record is from RefSeq and is a predicted model, not a curated record. The transcript is spliced from 2 exons.